RNAcentral lists this ribosomal RNA (275 nucleotides) under uncultured bacterium. Its description in RNAcentral is "partial 16S ribosomal RNA". It matches the Rfam family "Bacterial small subunit ribosomal RNA", at positions 338 to 630 of the family's 1533-position model. The record is from RNAcentral.
CCUACGGGGGGCUGCAGUGGGGAAUAUUGGACAAUGGGCGCAAGCCUGAUCCAGCAAUGCCGCGUGAGUGAUGAAGGCCUUCGGGUUGUAAAGCUCUUUCGCACGCGACGAUGAUGACGGUAGCGUGAGAAGAAGCCCCGGCUAACUUCGUGCCAGCAGCCGCGGUAAUACGAAGGGGGCUAGCGUUGUUCGGAAUUACUGGGCGUAAAGGGCGCGUAGGCGGUGCUUCAAGUCAGGCGUGAAAGCCCCGGGCUCAACCUGGGAACCGCGCUUGA